UUUAUUACGAGAGUUUGAUCCUGGCUCAGGAUGAACGCUGGCGGCGUGCCUAACACUUGCAAGUCGAGCGAAGCACAUGUAUACGAUUCUUCGGAUGAGGAUUCUUGUGACUGAGCGGCGGACGGGUGAGUAACGCGUGGGCAACCUUCCUUACACAGGGGGAUAACAGUUAGAAAUGACUGCUAAUACCGCAUAAGACCACAAAACCGCAUGGUUUGGUGGUAAAAACUCCGGUGGUGUAAGAUGGGCCCGCGUCUGAUUAGGUAGUUGGUAGGGUAACGGCCUACCAAGCCGACGAUCAGUAGCCGACCUGAGAGGGUGACCGGCCACAUUGGGACUGAGACACGGCCCAGACUCCUACGGGAGGCAGCAGUGGGGAAUAUUGCACAAUGGGGGAAACCCUGAUGCAGCGACGCCGCGUGAGCG
This 426-nucleotide ribosomal RNA is filed under the name Dorea sp. RNAcentral's name for it is "bacterial SSU rRNA". It matches the Rfam family "Bacterial small subunit ribosomal RNA", at positions 1 to 407 of the family's 1533-position model. Lineage: Bacteria; Bacillati; Bacillota; Clostridia; Lachnospirales; Lachnospiraceae. The record is from RNAcentral.